RNAcentral lists this ribosomal RNA (425 nucleotides) under uncultured bacterium. Its description in RNAcentral is "partial 16S ribosomal RNA". It matches the Rfam family "Bacterial small subunit ribosomal RNA", at positions 354 to 796 of the family's 1533-position model. The record is from RNAcentral.
GUGAGGAAUUUUGCGCAAUGGGGGCAACCCUGACGCAGCGACGCCGCGUGGAGGACGAAGUCUUUCGGGAUGUAAACUCCUGUCAGUGGGGACGAUAAUGACGGUACCCACAGAGGAAGCACCGGCUAACUCCGUGCCAGCAGCCGCGGUAAGACGGAGGGCGCCAGCGUUGUUCGGAAUUACUGGGCGUAAAGCGUAUGUAGGCGGCAAGUUAAGUUCAAUGUUAAAGCCCACGGCUCAACCGAGGAGAUGCAUUGAAUACUGGGUAGCUAGAGGGUGUUAUAGGAAGACGGAAUUCCCAGUGUAGCGGUGAAAUGCUUAGAUAUUGGGAGGAACAUCGGUAGCGAAAGCGGUCUUCUGGGACAUACCUGACGCUGAGGUACGAAAGCGUGGGGAGCAAACGGGAUUAGAUACCCUGGUAGUCC